Non-coding RNA from Peromyscus maniculatus bairdii (prairie deer mouse), 446 nucleotides. Lineage: Eukaryota; Metazoa; Chordata; Mammalia; Rodentia; Cricetidae. The record is from RefSeq and is a predicted model, not a curated record.
CUAGAGCCUGUUUAUGGGACAGUAGCAGAGCAGCUAGGACAAACCAAUCCCUGCAAACAGGGCUUCUCAAGGAGACCCCGGUACCUGGCCAUAUCCUGAAUCCUGGACCCUGAGAACUCCUGACCUGAGUAUGUGUACACUGAGGAAAAAGAGCGCCUCUCCCCUCUCCUUCCUAGCAGAGUAGCAUGUCAUUGUCUGAGCUCCAGAGGAACUCAGAGGCUCCACACAGCAACAGGAGGACAUUCUGUGGAGGAAGACGACAUGGUUUCUCUUCCACCAUCCAACUACAGACAACCACCCCAAAUUACCAACAAGAUCUGGGGAAUCUACAAAAGCAUCCCCUUGUGGAAGCCUCCCAGUGGGUACUUACUGUUGAAUCCUGCCCAACUUAGACGCCUUUGCAUUUUGACGGUUCAGAAAGUCACCUAUACGUCUCUGUCUUCACA